AGUGAACGCUGGCGGUAGGCCUAACACAUGCAAGUCGAACGGCAGCACAGUAAGAGCUUGCUCUUACGGGUGGCGAGUGGCGGACGGGUGAGGAAUACAUCGGGAUCUACUUUUUCGUGGGGGAUAACGUAGGGAAACUUACGCUAAUACCGCAUACGACCUACGGGUGAAAGCAGGGGAUCUUCGGACCUUGCGCGAUUGAAUGAGCCGAUGUCGGAUUAGCUAGUUGGCGGGGUAAAGGCCCACCAAGGCGACGAUCCGUAGCUGGUCUGAGAGGAUGAUCAGCCACACUGGAACUGAGACACGGUCCAGACUCCUACGGGAGGCAGCAGUGGGGAAUAUUGGACAAUGGGCGCAAGCCUGAUCCAGCUAUACCGCGUGGGUGAAGAAGGCCUUCGGGUUGUAAAGCCCUUUUGUUGGGAAAGAAAAGCAGCAGGUUAAUACCCCGCUGUUCUGACGGUACCCAAAGAAUAAGCACCGGCUAACUUCGUG
This 492-nucleotide ribosomal RNA is filed under the name uncultured bacterium. RNAcentral's name for it is "partial 16S ribosomal RNA". It matches the Rfam family "Bacterial small subunit ribosomal RNA", at positions 29 to 507 of the family's 1533-position model. The record is from RNAcentral.